AUAACCAAGCCCCAUCCCCCUUCGGCGGCACUCUCUCCAAACCCCUUUCUCUUUUUCCUUUCUACUUUUCCUCUCAUCCGGUCAAGGCAACCACCAUGACCACCGACACCGAACAGUCCCGAUGAGCGGUUAAACAGGCCACCAAACCACGACCAAACAAACCCACGACCCAGAAAUACCCGAAAUCCUCACUAAAAACGAACACACAACCCCCUGAACAAGCCCCAAAAAACCUUUACCUUUGGCGGCUUGAUGUCGUUUUAGAUCUCGAGGAUGGCGAGGCUCCUUUUCUGACGGGGAAGGUAAGUUUCUUUCCUCUUAACAUUUUUUCUUUUUGUUUUUUUGGAUAUCCAGUUCACUCAUAAAAAGGGAAGAAAUCUCUCUGUUUUUUUGUCUUUUCGGUUCUGUGUCCGGUGCAAAAAAAUGGCCUCUUGCUUUUUUUGGCUGUCACGUUUUGUUCCAUUUAUUUGAAGGGAAAUAAUUUCCCCUUUUAUUAUUGUUUUCCUCCUAUAUUUCUCCCCCACUCUUUGUUGUUUUUGUUUUCCUUUUGUUUUUCUGUUUUGCUGAUAUUUCCUAUCUCAUUUUGUUUGCAUGCGUCGGGGGAGCCUCUGCCACUGUCGAGGGAAUGUGGCAGAGGGGAGCAUACGACCGUCAGAUGCUCGGGUACAGUAGGGAGCGGUUAAGACGUGCGCGCGUGAAAGCUCAGGAGGCGACUGGGGCUACGCAUGUGAAUUUCACACACUGGAUCUAACGAUUGGUGUUCUUUGGCGGCAGCUGGUCUCCUUUAGGGUAAAACCCUAAGUUUUGUUGCAUAUGGGCCAUUGGAUAUCAACAUAUCCAACCAUAGAUAGAUCUGAUGGCUCCAGGCUUCUGGCGGCGCUGGACAAAAGAAGAGAACCCUAACCACCUUGGACUUGCACGAGUGAGGUUUAAUUCAGUUGGGUUAUUUUUCCUAGUCAAUUUUUGGGCUUCGUUUAAGUUUGUAACCUUAGGCAUCCAAACAAGAUUAAUAAAAUGUUAACUAUUUAUUUUUAA
Molecule: long non-coding RNA, 1035 nt
Organism: Hibiscus syriacus
Lineage: Eukaryota; Viridiplantae; Streptophyta; Magnoliopsida; Malvales; Malvaceae
Exons: 2
Source: RefSeq, a predicted model, not a curated record